RNAcentral lists this ribosomal RNA (497 nucleotides) under uncultured bacterium. RNAcentral's name for it is "partial 16S ribosomal RNA". It matches the Rfam family "Bacterial small subunit ribosomal RNA", at positions 28 to 507 of the family's 1533-position model. The record is from RNAcentral.
GAUGAACGCUGGCGGCGUGCCUUAUACAUGCAAGUCGUGCGAACAGACUAGGGGCUUCCUCCUCUGACGUUAGCGGCGGACGGGUGAGUAACACGUGGAUAACCUACCGAUAAGACUGGGAUAACUUCGGGAAACCGGAGCUAAUCCCGGGUAAUAUAUUGAACCGCAUGUUCUAAUAGUGAAAGACGGUUUUGCUGUCACUUAUAGAUGGAUGCGCGUCGCAUUAGCUAGUUGGUAAGGUAACGGAUUACCAAGGCAACUAUGCGUAGCCGACCUGAGAGGGUGAUCGGCCACGCUAGAACUGAGACACGGUCCAGACUCCUACGGGAGGCAGCAGUAGGGAAUCUUCCGCAAUGGGCGGAAGCCUGACGGAGGAACGCCGCGUGAGUGAUGAAGGUCGUCGGAUCGUAAAACUCUGUUAUUAGGGAAGAACAAAUGGGUAAGUAACUAUGCACGUGUUGACGGUACCUAAUGAGAAAGCAAGGGCUAACUACGUG